Spea bombifrons (plains spadefoot toad) is the source of this 449-nucleotide long non-coding RNA. RefSeq lists it as uncharacterized. NCBI's taxonomy places the organism in Eukaryota, Metazoa, Chordata, Amphibia, Anura, Pelobatidae. The transcript has 2 exons. The record is from RefSeq and is a predicted model, not a curated record.
GAUUAAUAACAUAGCUCUUUGGACCUCUGGUGACUUACAUACGCUGAAAGUUUUUAGAGGGCUGUUUUUGAUAUUUUAAACUACUACUAUAUAGAUUUGGCUAUCUCUUAGGAGUCUUCUGAAGAAAUACCUAUUUAAGAAAUGACUGAAAUCCUUACAGCCAAGACCGUACCAUAAUCUCCUGCUCCCCCCCUCAAAGUUAUCGUGGCUAUAUGCAGUAGCUUGAUACAGGAUAUGCCGUUUUAUGAUCUUACUCUUAUGCACUCUUUAAACUUUGUAUGAAAUACUCUCACUCUAUAUAUAUAUGCUGAAUCAUUUGAUUUGACUGCUCUUCCCGCACGGUAAUUGGACCCCUAAACUGAAUUAUUAAGGAAUAUAGGGAUACACCUUUAAUUGAAAAUGCCAAAUUAAAGAGGAAGUAGAGCAUAAACGGCCUUAUAGGAAAGAAA